Molecule: transfer RNA, 71 nt
Filed under: Loxodonta africana (African savanna elephant)
Lineage: Eukaryota; Metazoa; Chordata; Mammalia; Proboscidea; Elephantidae
Rfam family: tRNA
About the family: Transfer RNA (tRNA) molecules are approximately 80 nucleotides in length.
Source: Rfam by way of RNAcentral
GCAGUGGUAGUUCAGCGGUAGAAUCCUUGCCUUCCAUGCAGGAGACAUGGGCUCAAUUUCCAGCCAGUGAA